RNAcentral lists this signal recognition particle RNA (299 nucleotides) under Cebus imitator (Panamanian white-faced capuchin). RNAcentral's name for it is "Metazoan signal recognition particle RNA (ENSCCAG00000013815.1)". It matches the Rfam family "Metazoan signal recognition particle RNA". From Rfam's summary of the family: The signal recognition particle (SRP) is a universally conserved ribonucleoprotein. The record is from RNAcentral. Lineage: Eukaryota; Metazoa; Chordata; Mammalia; Primates; Cebidae.
ACUGGUCAUGGUGGCUUGUGCCUGUAGUUCCAGCUACUUGGGAGGCAGAGGUAGGAAGAUUGCUUGAGUUCAGGAGUUCUGGGCUGUAGUGCACUAUGCCAACUGGGUGUCUGCACUAAGUUCAGCAUCAAUACGGUGACCUCACAGGAGUGGGGAACCACCAGGUUGUCUAAGGAGGGGUGAAUCAGCCCAGAUUGGAAAUAGAGCAGAUCAAAAUUCCCAUGCUGAUCAGUAGUGGGAUGGCAACUGUGAAUAGCCACUGCACUCCAGCCUGUGCAAUGUGGUAAGACCCUGUCUCU